Molecule: ribosomal RNA, 232 nt
Filed under: uncultured bacterium
Lineage: Bacteria
Description: partial 16S ribosomal RNA
Rfam family: Bacterial small subunit ribosomal RNA
Source: RNAcentral
GCAAGUCGGGGGUGAUAUAUACUUCGGUAUAUUGAAACCGGCGAACGGGUAAGUAACACGUGGGAACCUACCCAGAAGAGGGGAAUAACCGUUGGAAACGACGGCUAAUACCGCAUAAUACCCUACGGGGGAAAGAUUUUAUCGCUUUUGGAUGGGCCCGCGGAAGAUUAGGUAGUUGGUGAGGUAAAAGCUCACAAAGCCUACGAUCUUUAGCUGGUCUGAGAGGACGGUC